AAACCUUCUAAUCAUCUAAGAUACUAGUUCAAAUAGAAAGGAACUGAAAAAGAAACCACAGUGAUAGCCGCAGUUCACGAAGAUGUGUACAUGAUGCCACUGGGAAAGUUUCAAUACAAACCCUAUCUUAUGAAAGUUAAUUGUCCAACCUUGUCAUUCAGGUACUGAAGCCAAUAUGCACUCCUAAAAACGUGGAAUAUGAUCUCAUCUAAAUAUCUUUUACUAAAAAGUGCAGCAAAUUCUAUUCUAUAUGUUAAUAUAUGUAGUCAAAAUUUACAAUUUUGAAUUUGACUUGUAGCAAGAAGAUAACUUCCUGCUCAUACUUGAGAACAAACAGUGGAUUCUAACCUCGGGCAACAGGAUGAUAGCAAACCUUCUACAACGAAUGCAUUCUAUAAAAUAGAGGCAUCUUGCAUGAAUAAUAAACAUGAAUGCCCCAUCUCAAGUCAUCCACUCGAUAACUAGAAAAAAUUAGAUGAUCACUUUUCAUUAACUUAUAAAUUAUUUAAGAAAUUCAAGAACAGAACGAGAAGUUCUAUUGGUUUGAUCCAUCUAUUAAAAGGGCCAAAAUGACAAACAGAUCCUCAAAUAAUUGAAUCCAUUCAUCCAACUCUGAAUCAGGGUCACCCCAGGCUCUGUGUUCUUAUGUACACUACAUGCACCACAUAAUUAAGUGCAAUAUAAAAUGCCUAAUAUUAUUAAAAAACAAGAAAAGCAUGGAACUAACCUGUGACUUCACCUGAUGAAUCAGUUCUGCCUUCUGCAUUUCCAGAUGCCUAGCUAAACUAUUUAGUUUCACUAUUUUUUCCUUUAGAUCUAUUAUUUUACUGUCCUUUUCUCUGCAUUCAACUUCUUUAUCCCGCAAUUGGCACCUUGAGAAAUAGGAAAAAAGAAAAAAAUUCAGGCCAAUUCAACAUAGGCAACUUCUAAAAAAGCACGAACCAAGCUGACUUAGC
This 956-nucleotide unclassified non-coding RNA is filed under the name Hevea brasiliensis (rubber tree). The record is from RNAcentral. Lineage: Eukaryota; Viridiplantae; Streptophyta; Magnoliopsida; Malpighiales; Euphorbiaceae.